UAGGGAAUCUUCGGCAAUGGGGGGAACCCUGACCGAGCAACGCCGCGUGAGUGAAGAAGGUUUUCGGAUCGUAAAGCUCUGUUGUUAAGGAAGAACGAGUGUGAGAAUGGAAAGUUCAUGCUGUGACGGUACUUAACCAGAAAGGGACGGCUAACUACGUGCCAGCAGCCGCGGUAAUACGUAGGUCCCGAGCGUUGUCCGGAUUUAUUGGGCGUAAAGCGAGCGCAGGCGGUUAGAAAAGUCUGAAGUGAAAGGCAGUGGCUCCACCAUUGUAGGCUUUGGAAACUGUUUAACUUGAGUGCAGAAGGGGAGAGUGGAAUUCCAUGUGUAGCGGUGAAAUGCGUAGAUAUAUGGAGGAACACCGGUGGCGAAAGCGGCUCUCUGGUCUGUAACUGACGCUGAGGCUCGAAAGCGUGGGGAGCGAACAGG
Molecule: ribosomal RNA, 429 nt
Filed under: Bacteroidota bacterium
Lineage: Bacteria; Pseudomonadati; Bacteroidota
Description: Bacteroidetes bacterium partial 16S ribosomal RNA
Rfam family: Bacterial small subunit ribosomal RNA
Source: RNAcentral